GUGGGGAAUAUUGGACAAUGGGCGAAAGCCUGAUCCAGCCAUGUCGCGUGUGUGAAGAAGGUCUACGGAUUGUAAAGCACUUUAAGUUGGGAGGAAGGGCAGUAAGUUAAUACCUUGCUGUUUUGACGUUACCGACAGAAUAAGCACCGGCUAACUUCGUGCCAGCAGCCGCGGUAAUACGAAGGGUGCAAGCGUUAAUCGGAAUUACUGGGCGUAAAGCGCGCGUAGGUGGUUUUGUAAGGUGGAGGUGAAAUCCCCGGGCUCAACCUGGGAACUGCCUCCAAAACUGCAUGACUAGAGUACGGUAGAAGGUAGUGGAAUUUCCUGUGUAGCGGUGAAAUGCGUAGAUAUAGGAAGGAACACCAGUGGCGAAGGCGACUACCUGGACUGAUACUGACACUGAGGUGCGAAAGCGUGGGGAGCAAACAGGAUUAGAAACCCGAGUAGUCC
Molecule: ribosomal RNA, 450 nt
Filed under: uncultured bacterium
Lineage: Bacteria
Description: bacterial SSU rRNA
Rfam family: Bacterial small subunit ribosomal RNA
Source: RNAcentral